GACGAACGCUGGCGGCGUGCCUAAUACAUGCAAGUUGAGCGCUGAAGGCUGGUUCUUGUACCAACUGGAUGAGCAGCGAACGGGUGAGUAACGCGUGGGGAAUCUGCCUUUGAGCGGGGGACAACAUUUGGAAACGAAUGCUAAUACCGCAUAACAACUUUAAACACAAGUUUUAAGUUUGAAAGAUGCAAUUGCAUCACUCAAAGAUGAUCCUUAGUUGUAUUAGCUAGUUGGUGAGGUAAAGGCCCACCAAGGCGAUGAUACAUAGCCGAACUGAGAGGAUGAGCGGCCACACUGGGAAGGAGACACGGCCCAAACGGCUUCGGGAGGGAGCAGUAGGGAAACUUCAGCAAGGGACGAGAGACAGAGCGAGCAAGGCGGGGGGAGUGAGGAAUGUUGUCGGAUCGGAAAACUCGGUUGGUAGAGAAGAACGUUGGUGAGAGUGGAACGCUCAUCAAGUGACGGUAACGACCCAGAAAGGGACGGCUAACUACGUG
This 497-nucleotide ribosomal RNA is filed under the name uncultured bacterium. RNAcentral describes it as "partial 16S ribosomal RNA". It matches the Rfam family "Bacterial small subunit ribosomal RNA", at positions 28 to 507 of the family's 1533-position model. The record is from RNAcentral.